Molecule: unclassified non-coding RNA, 1561 nt
Filed under: Hevea brasiliensis (rubber tree)
Lineage: Eukaryota; Viridiplantae; Streptophyta; Magnoliopsida; Malpighiales; Euphorbiaceae
Source: RNAcentral
ACUAUUCUCACUGGGUUUAGUUAAUAAUAAUAGUGUAAGAAUUAUUUACAUAAAUGUUAUGUACAUACAAAAAAGAAACAACUAAAAUAUAUGAUCUCCCCAGUGUAUGACCAAACUGCACAGUUGAUUGGGAUACAUCUCAAAUUUAGCCUUACCAGGGAGGACCUAUAUUCACCUCCCCAAAGGCAAGAAAAAUAAUCCCAGAAAACCACUAUAUCGACCACCCUUCCUCAUUAGAUUCGACAUUCAUCCUCAAAACAGAAGCAGAAAAAUCUCUGGAUAGAUGGACAUUUCCAUCAAUAUCAACUUUGCUAUAUGCUGCAAGACGAUCAUCCAUCACAAUUUUGCAGAAUCCUGAUUCCUCACCUCCCAAUCUUACACCAUAAUACGUCAGAUGAUCCUUAAUACUUCUACCAGUUACUGACCUGCUACAAGAAGGGUCUUCCCCAGAAUCAUCACAGACCUUUUCAACUGUAUAAGAAAGAAGUCCAAAGCCUAGGUUAUGGAGCCACACCUCCCUAGGAAAAUGAUGAUAAGUUUUCUGAGGGAAAUAGUAAUAGUACGGGGGCAAAUGAGGAACAAUAUCAUGUUCAUGUGUGACGCGAAUUGUAUUUGGCACCCAUUUGCUAUAGUAGGACGCAAAUGCAGCAUUCCCGAUUCGAGGUUGUCCAAAUGUCAUAACUGAAACAUUCCGCGAGCCAUAAUUUACUGUGAGAUCCAAUCCACAAAAAGCAGCCAUGGCCCCUCCCAUUGAAUGUCCUGUCACCAUAAUAGGAAUGUCUCCAUACUGUUCUUUUGCACUUUCAACAGCACUUAGCACUCCAGGGCGUAAUGUUGUGUUGUGGUAAGCAGAAUAAAAUCCAUGAUGUACCAUUGCAUCUUCCAUUCCAGGAUAUUCUAUAUCAAGCUGCUUCCAGUAUAGAUCUUCAAUCCAAUUCUGUAGGCUGCUUUCCUGAGUGCCUCUGAAUGCAAUAACAAUGGCAUUAAGAUCCUGCGCCACACCUACAUAUGCCUGAAGGCAUCGUUGCACAUCAACAAUGAGCUCUAGAAUUUGAAAUCCCUUGGUUAAACCAUUACAUCUUGAGCAAGUCCAGGCAAAUAAUUCUGUCAAAUCGGACACAUAGACUGCUGAAGCAUAUUCCACCAAUAUGGUGGCAAGGGUGUGGUUGUAGAUAGCUGCAUGAUGCUUGUUCUUGGCCUUCACUUUGAAUUCUCUACCAGUUGAAACCGCAAUUAAGCAUAGAAAAAUAACCACCUUUAACCAAUUUUUUCCGUCCAUAAUCUGGAAACUUGAAGAUGCUUAACUAGGAGCUCCGUUAUCCUAUUGAAUUUUUUGUUGUUCUUUGUGAGCACCGGCGACGGCGAGCAAUGUCAACCGGCGAUGAAUGCAGAAUUUAUGGAAAAGGAUAAAACGUAGAAUGGAGAAGAGUCAAAGAUUUUUGGCAUAAAAGAAGGUGAAAUUGGGUUUGACUAUCGAUUAAUACUUUCGUGACGGUACUGGACAUCUACAGGUCACCGUGAGAGAACGCCGCCGUGCGGUGGCGUACAUAGACCGAUUGUG